ACUCAUUGAUGGCACAUUAUUCUAGUCAUCUUAAUUAUUAUGGAGACGGGGCUAAAAAUCCGUUGAAGAGCAUAUAUUUCACCUUUUGGUUUUUGCUUCAUACGCCCAGUUUGGGGUGAUAGCUGAAAGGAAUAAAUAAUUGGGCUCUCAUAAUGGCAUAUGAGAUAAGUACCAAUUAUUUGGAACAUCUAUUUACUAGAUAAACCUACUAUGUGGCGCAAAGUUACGAGUAGUGUAGCUUGUCUUGAGUGAAUAUUGGGAAUAAUUGAAAUAUUUUAAAUGUAUGUGGCCGCAUAUAUUUAAUCUAUAAUUUGAAACAAUAUUUGCAAAAAAGAAUAAAUAAUAAUUAAAAUGCUUGAGGAAAACUCCUAGAAAUGUGUAUAUAUAAGGAUUGCAGUGUGAGCUAAGUGGUAAUCAAGUCGUAUAGACGGUGACGCUAUAUUAAAUCUUUUAAAGGGGAACCGCUUUUCAGGUAACUGAAAGUAAGAUUUAGAGAAAUUCUACUUGACCUAAGCCGCAAAGUUUACUUAUUUAUACGCCAUUACUAAUUA
This 551-nucleotide small RNA is filed under the name bovine gut metagenome. The record is from RNAcentral.